RNAcentral lists this ribosomal RNA (500 nucleotides) under uncultured bacterium. Its description in RNAcentral is "bacterial SSU rRNA". It matches the Rfam family "Bacterial small subunit ribosomal RNA", at positions 29 to 524 of the family's 1533-position model. The record is from RNAcentral.
AUUGAACGCUGGCGGCGUGCCUAACACAUGCAAGUCGAGCGGUAACAGGUGUAGCAAUACAUGCUGACGAGCGGCGGACGGGUGAGUAACGCUUGGGAAUCUGCCUGUUAGUGGGGGACAACCCGGGGAAACUCGGGCUAAUACCGCAUACGCACUACGGUGGAAAGCCGGGGACCGCAAGGCCUGGCGCUAACAGAUGAGCCCAAGUCGGAUUAGCUAGUUGGUAGGGUAACGGCCACCAAGGCGACGAUCCGUAACUGGUCUGAGAGGACGACCAGUCACACCGGAACUGAGACACGGUCCGGACUCCUACGGGAGGCAGCAGUGGGGAAUAUUGGACAAUGGGCGAAAGCCUGAUCCAGCGACGCCGCGUGGUGAAGAAGGCCUGCGGGUUGUAAAGCCCUUUCGGUGGGGAAGAAAAGCCUCGAGUUAACACCUCGGGUCUUGACGUAACCCAUAGAAGAAGCACCGGCUAACUCUGUGCCAGCCGCCGCAGUAAC